Trifolium pratense (red clover) is the source of this 343-nucleotide long non-coding RNA. RefSeq lists it as uncharacterized. Lineage: Eukaryota; Viridiplantae; Streptophyta; Magnoliopsida; Fabales; Fabaceae. The record is from RefSeq and is a predicted model, not a curated record. The transcript has 2 exons.
AGGCGAAGUAUCUUGGGUUUCUUACAUGUGUGUUAUGAAGAUUGGGGAGUUGAUGAACUGAUUGUGGAAGAUUCCUGGAAGAAGCAAGUUGGCGGUGGGUGAUUGAUGGCGGAAACUAGAACUGACGAGUUUAGUCUGACGUUUAUACACUAAUUGCCGGAUGUCUAUGUAUCUCCGAUGCUUAUACUUUGAAUUCUGUACACAAAUUUUUGGAUGUCUCUGUUACUCUGUAUCAUUGAUGCUUAUACUUUGUUUUAGUUUAAUGUCAUCAUUAACAUUAUGGCUUGCAUUAAUUUUUUAUGGCAACAAUGUGAAAUAAUUCAGGCACUACUAUUGCAACCUU